CAAUAGCGUAUAUUAAAGUUGUUGCGGUUAAAAAGCUCGUAGUUGGAUUUCUGCUGAGAACGACCGGUCCGCCCUUUGGGUGUGUAUCUGGCUCUUUCUUGGCAUCUUCUUGGUGAACGUUGCUGCACUUGACUGUGUGGAGCGCUACCCAGGACUUUUACUUUGAGGAAAUUAGAGUGUUUCAAGCAGGCAUACGCCUUGAAUACAUUAGCAUGGAAUAAUAAGAUAGGACCUCGGUUCUAUUUUGUUGGUUUCUAGAGCUGAGGUAAUGAUUAAUAGGGAUAGUUGGGGGCAUUCGUAUUUAACUGUCAGAGGUGAAAUUCUUGGAUUUGUUAAAGACGGGCUACUGCGAAAGCAUUUGCCAAGGAUGUUUNCAUUGA
This 380-nucleotide ribosomal RNA is filed under the name uncultured eukaryote. Its description in RNAcentral is "partial 18S ribosomal RNA". It matches the Rfam family "Eukaryotic small subunit ribosomal RNA", at positions 592 to 976 of the family's 1831-position model. The record is from RNAcentral.